Molecule: long non-coding RNA, 2392 nt
Filed under: Zea mays
Lineage: Eukaryota; Viridiplantae; Streptophyta; Magnoliopsida; Poales; Poaceae
Description: long non-coding RNA (ZMAY_LNC005221)
Source: RNAcentral
CAAGGGCGUCGACAGGGACAUGGUGCUCCUCUACGCCGCGAGGGCCUCCCGCGUCGAGAACCAGGACGCCAUUGACACCUGCAUCGUCAACAUGCUCGCCGACCCCAAGGAGGCCCGCGCUGGCAUCCAGGAGGUCCACUUCCUCCCCUUCAACCCGGUCGAGAAGCGCACGGCCAUCACCUACAUCGACGGCAACGGCGACUGGCACAGGGUCAGCAAGGGCGCUCCCGAGCAGAUCAUCGAGCUCUGCAACAUGGGCGCCGAGGCCGAGAAGAAGGUCCAUGCCUUGAUCGACGGGUACGCCGACCGCGGCCUCCGGUCGCUCGGCGUGUCGUACCAGCAGGUGCCGGAGAAGAGCAAGGAGAGCGCCGGCGACCCGUGGCAGUUCAUUGGCCUCCUGCCCCUGUUCGACCCGCCGAGGCACGACAGCGCGGAGACCAUCCGCCGCGCGCUCCACCUGGGCGUCAACGUGAAGAUGAUCACCGGCGACCAGCUCGCCAUCGGCAAGGAGACCGGCCGCCGGCUCGGCAUGGGCACCAACAUGUACCCCUCCACCACGCUCCUGGGCGACAAGAACACCACGGUGAACGGCAUGCACAUCGACGAGCUGAUCGAGAAGGCGGACGGCUUCGCUGGGGUCUUCCCCGAGCACAAGUACGAGAUAGUGAAGCGACUCCAGGACCGGAACCACAUCUGCGGCAUGACCGGGGACGGCGUGAACGACGCGCCGGCGCUGAAGAAGGCGGACAUCGGCAUCGCCGUGGACGACGCGACGGACGCGGCCCGGAGCGCGUCGGACAUCGUGCUGACUGAGCCCGGGCUGAGCGUGAUCGUGAGCGCCGUGCUGACGAGCCGCUCCAUCUUCCAGCGCAUGAAGAACUACACCAUCUACGCCGUGUCCAUCACCAUCCGCAUCGUGCUGGGCUUCCUCCUCAUCGCGCUCAUCUGGAAGUUCGACUUCGCGCCCUUCAUGGUGCUCAUCAUCGCCAUCCUCAACGACGGCACUAUCAUGACCAUCUCCAAGGACCGCGUCAAGCCGUCGCCCACCCCCGACUCGUGGAAGCUCAACGAGAUCUUCGCCACCGGCAUCGUGCUCGGCACCUACAUGGCCAUCAUCACCGCCGUCUUCUUCUACCUCGCCCACGACACCGACUUCUUCACGGUACACACACACCUACCCACUGCCAUUGCCAUUGACAGGUCGAGAUCCAGGGCGGUCCUUGCAAAGGUCGUAGCAAGCUCGCUCACCCAGCAGCCAUUCCAUUUCCACGCGAUAUGAUCGACGCAGGACGUGUUCGGCGUGAAUUCGAUCAAGGAGAACGACAGGGAGCUGAUGGCGGCGCUGUACCUCCAAGUAAGCAUCAUCAGCCAGGCGCUCAUCUUCGUGACGCGGUCCCGGAGCUGGUCGUUCGUGGAGCGGCCGGGCUUCCUCCUGCUCUUCGCCUUCUUCGCCGCCCAGCUGGUGGCGACGUGCAUCGCGGUGUACGCCGACUGGGACUUCUGCCGCAUCCAGGGGAUCGGCUGGGCGUGGGGCGGCGCCAUCUGGAUGUUCAGCAUCGUCACCUACAUCCCGCUCGACGUGCUCAAGUUCAUGAUCCGCGCCGCGCUCAGAGACAAGGCCACGGGCAACAACGUCCACAACAAGGCAAGCCUCGCCACUCCCAGUCAAACUGCUCCAUUGUUGCGGUCUACUCUACCUUGACCUUGAGCUGACGAUUACGAAGUCUUGAUCGGUUGCCUUGCCAUUGUGUCUCUGUCUGUGUCUUGUCGUCUCCAGUGAUACGUUUAUCUGGGUGCUUGUCGCGGACGGCGUUUAGGAACAAGGACUGCGGCAAGGGCCGGCGAUCGCGAGGCACAGUGGGCGGUAGAGCAGAGACACUCCACGGGCCUCAACCAGCUCGCCACCACCUCCUCCUCCGACCUUCUAGGCAGCAAGGACUAGCAUGCAGUCCGAGCUCACCGAGGAGGCCCGCAAAGGUCGCAAGAUAUACGUAGCUACAGUCUUCUCCGGCGACUAGCCCACCAUCUCUAGCGCCGCUGAUGCGGCUGAUCUCGCUGGUCUCCAGAGACCGACGGCGUCCAGCGGUGGCCGGAGGAGUCCUGUGUUCUUCGUUUCCUUAGGUGUACUUAUGUGGGUUUUGGGGUGGCAAGAGAGUUUUUUUUUUGUGAACUCUGGUGUAUCGGAUCAAGUGAAUAUGUACCUACAUGUUGUGUUCUUAAUUCUGCAUUGUACAGCUAUACACUAUACAAGGGUACGGGAAUGCUGAGGUGUAACUUCCAUGCAAUAUACUUAGUUGUAUUCAUCUAAUCAUCAAACUGCCAGCAACUUUUUAUUUACUUCACUUAUUUGGAGUUAUGUGUAAUGGAGUCAUAGUAGGCCUGUUUGUUUCGC